RNAcentral lists this ribosomal RNA (428 nucleotides) under uncultured bacterium. RNAcentral describes it as "partial 16S ribosomal RNA". It matches the Rfam family "Bacterial small subunit ribosomal RNA", at positions 354 to 796 of the family's 1533-position model. The record is from RNAcentral.
GUAGGGAAUAUUGCGCAAUGGGGGAAACCCUGACGCAGCGACGCCGCGUGAGUGAUGAAGGCCUUCGGGUCGUAGAGCUCUGUUGCAGGGGAAUAAAAAAAUGAAUGUACCCUGUGAGGAGGGAUCGGCUAACUUCGUGCCAGCAGCCGCGGUAAGACGAGGGAUCCUAGCGUUGCUCGGAAUCAUUGGGCGUAAAGAGGGCGUAGGUGGCUUGGUAAGUCAGGUGUGAAAGCCCAGGGCUCAACCCUGGAAGUGCAUUUGAUACUGCUGAGCUUGAGUGUCGGAGAAGUUACAGGAAUACCUGGUGUAGUGGUGAAAUACGUAGAUAUCAGGUGGAACACCGGAGGCGAAGGCGGGUAACUGGACGAACACUGACACUGAGGCCCGAAAGCGUGGGGAUCAAACAGGAUUAGAAACCCGAGUAGUCC